This 57-nucleotide transfer RNA is filed under the name Rhoptropus diporus. RNAcentral's name for it is "partial tRNA-Cys". Lineage: Eukaryota; Metazoa; Chordata; Lepidosauria; Squamata; Gekkonidae. The record is from RNAcentral.
CAGAGUUGCAAGUCUGAGAKAACACCUAAGCAUAAGGUGCCGGGGCUUCUCCCGUUU